Small nucleolar RNA from Dioscorea cayenensis subsp. rotundata (Guinea yam), 107 nucleotides. The record is from RefSeq and is a predicted model, not a curated record. NCBI's taxonomy places the organism in Eukaryota, Viridiplantae, Streptophyta, Magnoliopsida, Dioscoreales, Dioscoreaceae.
AAACCAUGUUGAGGAAAAUUUCACAGGAGUUCCUUGAACCUUUCCCAUGUAUUGAAUAAAGACUCCAAUUCCAUUUUCACAAAGGACGAGAUCUUAUUCCUAAGCUU